RNAcentral lists this long non-coding RNA (130 nucleotides) under Capra hircus (goat). Its description in RNAcentral is "lncRNA (ENSCHIG00010001794.1)". The record is from RNAcentral. Lineage: Eukaryota; Metazoa; Chordata; Mammalia; Artiodactyla; Bovidae.
AUGCAGGCCAGGGAUUACCACCACCCUGCUUAUCCUAUCAGUGAGGGAAAAAAGAAAAGAAUUGGAAGCCUUGCAGUUGAAUCCAGUUCAGUUCAGUUCAGUCCAGUCGCUCAGUCGUGUCCGACUCUUU